AACGGUAAGAAAUGCCUGGUAACACAGCGGUGGUAGGAUUUGUGUCUCCCAAAGCCAGGCCAUCAGAGUUUCUCACAGUGCUGUUAAUGCGCCCGCACCACACCGCGCAUGCGUGCAAUCCCGCAUCAUAAAUAACGGAUUUACAAGCUUAACUCCGACUCAGCAAUAGCACACGUGUGGAACGCGGCUGAGUGACUGUCACCAUGAGACCCUUAGCUCUGGCCUUGGAGGUUUCCUCAACCUGAGGCUGGGGCUUUGCAGGGUGGGCUGAAGAAAGCCUCUCUGCCUGGGCCUGACGUCUUGCCUAAUGAGCAGAAACACCCUUUUGGACUUAAGGAUCCUGAGCCCCCUGGCCACAAAUCACGAAGCAAAAGAAAUCAAGCAUUAAGGUUUUCCCCAGAUACUUAUUGACCGGAAUGGACUGGAAAUGUCCAGUCUACUAGCAAACAUCAAAGACAUCAGCAGCUGCAGACCAGUCCACUCAGCAGACAGCAUGCAUGAAUCAACAAGAGCAGUUCAAUCCAGAAGAAACCCCAAGGCUUGACAAUAGGCCCAAGUCAGCAGAUGCAGCAAGAAGCCACAGGCACCUCACUUCACGAGAAGUUUCUCUCUAUGAAGUCACUACACUCGAAGCUCAGCAACAUAAUGCCCCAGGAACAUUUGAAGUACCUAUUUAAUGAGAAGACUUCUGGAGAAGCCUAGGCACUCUGCUGGGCACAAGGGUUUCUCCAUAUUCAUACCAGAUGGGGAAGCAGGAAAAUGAACUCCAGAGAGGAGGAGACAAGAAGCACCAUCUCUGCAGACAGAGCCCUUCCUAAAGUGGAAGAUUCUAGAAGGCUGACCUCCGGGGCCAAGUCUGGACUGCGCAGGGUAGCCUGGGGAAGCUCUGCCGAACAACAAUAACAUGCACGGUCUGCCCAAGGCAUGUGGAGUGCAAGGCACUCUGAAAAUUGGGCUCAAAACAACUUCUUUAUUUGAGACAAAAAGCCCUUUGUGUGGGUCUUCCUCCCUCAGCCUACAGAGGAUUCGUGUUCAGUGAGGCAGCAGCUCCUGUCUCCCCAGAGCUGCCUCAGGUAGAGACACUGCCUGACUGCCAGUGGCCAUGCAUCUGUGACCAUUACACGGGCCUAAGUGGGUUUGGGAGCUUUACCUUAGGAAUUAAGUAAGAAAAA
RNAcentral lists this long non-coding RNA (1172 nucleotides) under Mus musculus (house mouse). RNAcentral describes it as "predicted gene, 33440". The record is from RNAcentral. Lineage: Eukaryota; Metazoa; Chordata; Mammalia; Rodentia; Muridae.